GCCAAGUGGCAGCUGGGACUCAGAUGAAAGGGUCCUUAGACGGUUGUCUGUGGCCAAGUGCCCAGCCCAGCACAGCCCAGGCCUGGCAGCCCUGGGCCCAGCUGUCCCCCAAGGCAGCCUGCCACUGGUCCCACACAAGGCUCCCUUUGUGGGACCCACCGCAGGGGAGACCCCUGCCAACCCACAAGGACCCUCUUCCCUUCUCUUUGCUUCCCACCGGCUUGAGAAAGAUUCAAAUCCUUAGAGAAUGGUCCAGGGCUGGGCCCAGCUGGCCUGACUCUGGGCCAGGCACCUUGGAGAGCUUUGUCCCAUUUAAUCUUCCAGAACAGCACUGGUAGCAGGUAGUGUUAUUCCCUUUUAGAGAGGAAGGACAUAGAGACCCGAGGGCCUACCAUGUGUCGAUCACAGUGCCAGGCCCUGGGAAGAGAGUAGUGAACCAGAGGACAAGAGCCAAGAGCAGGGAGCGCACUGUCAGCCGGACUGAUCAAUAACCACACACGCUCUACACCCAGCAUGAAGCCCAACGUGGGGCUUGAACUCAUGGCCCCAAGAUCAAGACCUGAGAUUUACCUCAUCCUUCCUUGGUCUGCACUCUGGAUGCUGAUCUUCAGGGUUCACAUCCAUAGGCUCUCAUCCCUCUGGAUCCCAUGCGUGUUCGUCCCGCGGGAGGCCUAGCGGGACAUCAGAAGGUGCUCACAAUGGGCGAAGAGGAGGGACUGAUCCUUGGAAUUCAUGUGAAUCAUUCCUGGACAAACAAACUUCAGGGAGCAAACAGCGUCCGCUUUGGCCACUUCCCUGGGACCAGCCACUCCCUGACCCUCUUGGGCACACAGCCUGCCAAUCCAGCCAGCAAACCAUCCACUCCCGGUUGCCUGCUGCGCUCAGCCCGGCCCUAUCAGCACUGCAACAAGCAUCCUUUACAUCUAAGAACUGGGCAAGGAAUAUGCACUUUUUGAGGAUCUGUUGCCAACUGAUUAGGGAGGCUGUGCCUACCAUCCAGGCACACACCGUUUUGCCCCAAGUUCAGAGUCAACCCCGCAGACCCCAAAGCUAAGCAUGCGAGUGGCUUUGCAGGUAGGGCCUGACCCUCAGGUAGGUCCCCUCCACUGCCCGUGGCUUCCUGGGAUCCAGAGCAGAAGCACUGAUUUUUUUUCUGGGUUGGUUGGAAAUACCAGUUAAAGAGCUCACACACCACCCCUCUUCUGCUCCACGUUCUCUUUUCUUUCUCCUGCUUCUCCUUUUUCUCGCUUUCCCUUCCUUUUCCAUCUCUCCUUCCUUUUGUUUGCUCCUUCUCCCUCCAGCCUCCACUCUGUGUCUCCCUCUGACUUGGGGCUUCUUUCUCUCUGCCUCUUUUCCCUCUGCUUCCUCUGCCUCUCUACAGUUUUCCCUCACCUUUUCAUCUUCCUCCUGGAACUCAGCCUUGUCUCUGUCUCUUUUCUCUUUCCCCUCCGUGGUUCUCUGUCCUCCACCCACCACUCCUGCUGGCUGAGUCAUAAUUUCCCCUGUGGGUGGGAGGGAUAAAGCAGCCUUUUCCCUGAUAGGUCUUGAUGUGAAGGAGCAGUGAGUUUGCCUCCCACAAGGGCAAAGCUAACCGAUUCCUGAGUGGGGAGCUGCCUGGUAAACCAGUGUGACUCAGGACUUCCAAGUUGGGAGAGGGGCUGUCCAUCAGUCAAGCUUCCCUUGGAUGCUUUGGCAUCAUGGGGGCCAGCAUGCUGUGUCUGAUGACUCACUGGGACAGCCUUGGCAUGGUGGCAGCGGGAUGUGGGGAGGGGUGCUGGAGUUUAUGAUGUUGCCCCUGGGAGGACACCCCCUCUCUGCAGGCAGCCCAGGGAUGGAUGCUGGGGCCCUACAAUCAUGUUCAUCAUUGCAUGGCUUCACAUCAUAAUGGUCAGAUAGGACAUUUAUAACAACUCAGGUUGCUGGGCCCUAAUUCAUCUUUAUUAAACCAGAAUAACUAAGGAUAGGAGUCAGGAAUCUUCAUGUUAAAGAUACUUGAUGCAAAAGCUGGUAGGUAUCUAUUAGACUUGUAAAUGCACACACCCUAUAUUCCAGCAGCCACUCCUGGGACUUUCUUCUAACAAAAUAUUCCCUCAUGUAUUGUGCACGAGGAUUUUUUUUUCAGCAUUGUUUGUAUUAUCAAACAAUUGGGAACACCCUGAAUGUAAUGUCCAUUAGUCGACAAUGGUUAAAUAAAAGAUGAUGUCUCGGGGCACCUGGGUGGCUCAGUGGGUUAAGCUGCUGCCUUCAGAUCGGGUCGUGAUCCCAGAGUCCUGGGAUCGAGUUCCGCGUUGAGAGGGAGCCUGCUUCCCUCUCUCUCUCUCUGCCUGCUUCUCUGUCUACUUGUGAUUU
Long non-coding RNA from Mustela lutreola (European mink), 2349 nucleotides. RefSeq lists it as uncharacterized. The record is from RefSeq and is a predicted model, not a curated record. Lineage: Eukaryota; Metazoa; Chordata; Mammalia; Carnivora; Mustelidae. The transcript is spliced from 5 exons.